AAUCUUGCGCAAUGGCCGAAAGGCUGACGCAGCGACGCCGCGUGCGGGAGGAAGCCCCUCGGGGUGUAAACCGCUGUCAGGGGGGACGAACCCCCAGCAUGGGAAUACUGUGCUGGGCUGACGGUACCCCCAGAGGAAGCGCCGGCUAACUCCGUGCCAGCAGCCGCGGUAAUACGUAGGGGGCAAGCGUUGUCCGGAAUUAUUGGGCGUAAAGGGUGCGUAGGCGGCCCUUUAAGUCAGAUGUGAAAGCCCACGGCUUAACCGUGGGACUGCAUUUGAAACUGGAGGGCUUGAGUGUCGGAGAGGGCAGUGGAAUUCCCAGUGUAGCGGUGGAAUGCGUAGAUAUUGGGAGGAACACCAGUGGCGAAGGCGACUGCCUGGACGAUAACUGACGCUGAGGCACGAAAGCUAGGGGAGCAAAC
RNAcentral lists this ribosomal RNA (422 nucleotides) under uncultured bacterium. Its description in RNAcentral is "partial 16S ribosomal RNA". It matches the Rfam family "Bacterial small subunit ribosomal RNA", at positions 360 to 773 of the family's 1533-position model. The record is from RNAcentral.